GAAGUAAAAGUCGUAACAAGGUCUCCGUUGGUGAACCAGCGGAGGGAUCAUUACUGAGUUUACGCUCUAUAACCCUUUGUGAACAUACCUAUAACUGUUGCUUCGGCGGGUAGGGUCUCCGCGACCCUCCCGGCCUCCCGCCUCCGGGCGGGUCGGCGCCCGCCGGAGGAUAACCAAACUCUGAUUUAACGACGUUUCUUCUGAGUGGUACAAGCAAAUAAUCAAAACUUUUAACAACGGAUCUCUUGGUUCUGGCAUCGAUGAAGAACGCAGCGAAAUGCGAUAAGUAAUGUGAAUUGCAGAAUUCAGUGAAUCAUCGAAUCUUUGAACGCACAUUGCGCCCGCCAGCAUUCUGGCGGGCAUGCCUGUUCGAGCGUCAUUUCAACCCUCAAGCUCUGCUUGGUGUUGGGGCCCUACAGCUGAUGUAGGCCCUCAAAGGUAGUGGCGGACCCUCCCGGAGCCUCCUUUGCGUAGUAACUUUACGUCUCGCACUGGGAUCCGGAGGGACUCUUGCCGUAAAACCCCCCAAUUUUCCAAAGGUUGACCUCGGAUCAGGUAGGAAUACCCGCUGAACUUAAGCAUAUC
This 585-nucleotide ribosomal RNA is filed under the name Colletotrichum gloeosporioides. RNAcentral's name for it is "eukaryotic LSU rRNA". The stretch from base 226 to 379 matches the Rfam family "5.8S ribosomal RNA". The record is from RNAcentral. Lineage: Eukaryota; Fungi; Ascomycota; Sordariomycetes; Glomerellales; Glomerellaceae.